AUACGAAGGGGGCUAGCGUUGUUCGGAAUUACUGGGCGUAAAGCGCGCGUAGGCGGACUGAUCAGUUGGGGGUGAAAUCCCAGGGCUUAACCCUGGAACUGCCUCCAAUACUGUCAGUCUUGAGUUCGGGAGAGGUGAGUGGAAUUCCUAGUGUAGAGGCGAAAUUCGUAGAUAUUAGGAAGAACACCAGUGGCGAAGGCGGCUCACUGGCCCGAUACUGACGCUGAGGCGCGAAAGCGUGGGGAGCAAACAGGAUUAGAAACCCUAGUAGUCC
This 274-nucleotide ribosomal RNA is filed under the name uncultured bacterium. RNAcentral's name for it is "partial 16S ribosomal RNA". It matches the Rfam family "Bacterial small subunit ribosomal RNA", at positions 523 to 796 of the family's 1533-position model. The record is from RNAcentral.